This 466-nucleotide ribosomal RNA is filed under the name uncultured bacterium. RNAcentral describes it as "partial 16S ribosomal RNA". It matches the Rfam family "Bacterial small subunit ribosomal RNA", at positions 28 to 507 of the family's 1533-position model. The record is from RNAcentral.
GACGAACGCUGGCGGCGUGCUUAACACAUGCAAGUCGAACGGAAAGGCCCUGCUUGCAGGGUACUCGAGUGGCGAACGGGUGAGUAACACGUGGGUGAUCUGCCCUGCACUUCGGGAUAAGCCUGGGAAACUGGGUCUAAUACCUGAUAGGAGCCAUUUUUAGUGUGAUGGUUGGAAAGUUUUUUUCGGUGUAGGAUGAGCUCGCGGCCUAUCAGCUUGUUGGUGGGGUAAUGGCCUACCAAGGCGGCGACGGGUAGCCGGCCUGAGAGGGUGGACGGCCACAUUGGGUCUGAGAUACGGCCCAGACUCCUACGGGAGGCAGCAGUGGGGAAUAUUGCACAAUGGGCGCAAGCCUGAUGCAGCGAGGCCGCGUGGGGGAUGACGGCCUUCGGGUUGUAAACUCCUUUCGCUAGGGACGAAGCUUUUUGUGACGGUACCUAGAUAAGAAGCACCGGCUAACUACGUG